CAAUAGCGUAUAUUUAAGUUGUUGCAGUUAAAAAGCUCGUAGUUGGAUUUCGGAUGGGAUUUGCCGGUCCGUCGUUACGAUGUGCACUGGCCAGUCCUAUCUUGUUGUCGGGGACUAGCUCCUUGGAUUCACCUCCUGGGACUAGGAGCUGACGAGGUUACUUUGAGUAAAUUAGAGUGUUCAAAGCAAGCCUACGCUCUGAAUACAUUAGCAUGGAAUAACACGAUAGGACUCUGGCUUAUCUUGUUGGUCUGUGAGACCAGAGUAAUGAUUAAGAGGGACAGUCGGGGACAUUCGUAUUUCAUUGUCAGAGGUGAAAUUCUUGGAUUUAUGAAAGACGAACUUCUGCGAAAGCAUUUGUCAAGGAUGUUUUCAUUAA
RNAcentral lists this ribosomal RNA (379 nucleotides) under uncultured eukaryote. RNAcentral describes it as "partial 18S ribosomal RNA". It matches the Rfam family "Eukaryotic small subunit ribosomal RNA", at positions 592 to 976 of the family's 1831-position model. The record is from RNAcentral.